GGCUCCCGAGGACGCCUGGAAGUGGGGCAGCACAGACAGAACUUGCCGGUUCUCUGUGUGGUGAGGCGUAGGAGAAGGAGAUUUUUCGGAUCCCGGAGUGUGGUGUCCAGCCCGCUCUUGGUUCCCAGAAGAGCCCCAGUCUGUUACCACGUCCACCCUUCACGCAAAAAUAGGACAGUGGUCUGGGUUCAGAAAAGCCAAAGCUCUGCCCAGCCGGGUGUGGCCCGUGCUGCCCAGAGCUGGGGGCGUCUGCCGCCUCCCCCCUGCACCCGGGGUGCCCCAGCUCUCCCCGCGGCCCGCCUCCAUCCCAACGGUUAUGAUCCAGACGGACCCGGAGAGAAGGGCCGCCCUGGCCUGGAUCACACUGUGCCGAGCCUGGCAUCCCCGGGCACCCAGAGCUCACCCCUAGACGCAGGACGGAAGGGAGCGCCGUGCCCCCACAGCAAGGGGCAGGGGGAGGCCCAGGAGAGACCCCGUCCCGAGCCGGGGAGAGGGAGGCAGCCUGAGGGCCUGGGCGCAUCCUGGCUCCUCCAAUUCCUGCCGCCGGUCCUCAGACGGGACACCCAGCUCGCCGUCUCCCGAAGGACACGCUCGUCUUCCUCUCGGGCGGUGGGGGCUUCAGGCUGCGGCUGGUUCCCCAGAUGGCAGCUCGCCCACCUUCCUGUGGGAAACCUGACUGGAGACACAGGCGCCUGGCUCACGCGGAGCCCGCAGAGGGCGGUGUGAGCGGAGGCUUCCCCGCAGGAGCCCCAGCGCCAGCCCUGCGUGGCAGGCAGGACAGCCCCCCGCUGGACGCCCACCUCCUACUCUCCCAAACCUGAGACUCGGGUCACGCUGCAACAGGAGCUACGGCGGAAGGUGGACCCAGUGGCUGAGAUGGGAAACGACCCUGGAUUAUCCCGGCGGCUCCAGUGUGAUUGGAAGGAAACCUCACGGUGGAGGGGGGACGGGAGAGCCAGUGUCUGUGACUCAGCGUGAGAGAGGCCAUCGCUGGCUGUGGACGGACGGAGGGGCCGUGAGCCAAGGAAUGCGGGUGGUCUCCAGAAGGUGGGAAAGGCAGGAAGCGGGUUCUCCCCCCCUGGAGCCUCUGGAAGGACGCAGCGCUGCUGACAUGUCAACCACAGCCUCGGGAGACCCCUGUGGACCCCUGACCCCCAGACUGUAGGGUAAUAAAUGUGUGUUGUUUUAAGCCA
This 1193-nucleotide long non-coding RNA is filed under the name Bos indicus x Bos taurus (hybrid cattle). RNAcentral describes it as "lncRNA (ENSBIXG00005008860.1)". The record is from RNAcentral. Lineage: Eukaryota; Metazoa; Chordata; Mammalia; Artiodactyla; Bovidae.